UACGUAGGGUGCAAGCGUUAAUCGGAAUUACUGGGCGUAAAGCGUGCGCAGGCGGUCAUGCAAGACAGAUGUGAAAUCUCCGGGCUUAACCUGGGAACUGCAUUUGUGACUGCGUGACUAGAGUAUGGUAGAGGGGGAUGGAAUUCCGCGUGUAGCAGUGAAAUGCGUAGAUAUGCGGAGGAGCACCGAUGGCGAAGGCAAUUCCCUGGACCUGUACUGACGCUCAUGCACGAAAGCGUGGGGAGCAAACAGG
RNAcentral lists this ribosomal RNA (253 nucleotides) under uncultured bacterium. Its description in RNAcentral is "partial 16S ribosomal RNA". It matches the Rfam family "Bacterial small subunit ribosomal RNA", at positions 524 to 776 of the family's 1533-position model. The record is from RNAcentral.